CCUACGGGAGGCAGCAGUGAGGAAUAUUGGUCAAUGGGCGAAAGCCUGAACCAGCCAAGUAGCGUGCAGGAUGACGGCCCUACGGGUUGUAAACUGCUUUUGUACGGGAAUAACAAGCCUUACGUGUAGGGCUUUGCAUGUACCGUGUGAAUAAGGACCGGCUAAUUCCGUGCCAGCAGCCGCGGUAAUACGGAAGGUCCGGGCGUUAUCCGGAUUUAUUGGGUUUAAAGGGAGCGUAGGCCGCAUGUCAAGCCCGCUGUGAAAUGUCCGGGCUCAACCCGGGCCUUGCAGGUCGAACUGGCGUGCUUGAGUCGGCGGAAAGUAGGCGGAAUGCGUGGUGUAGCGGUGAAAUGCUUAGAUAUGACGAAGAACCCCGAUUGCGAAGGCAGCUUGCUGCAGCGGAACUGACGCUGAUGCUCGAAAGCGUGGGUAUCGAACAGGAUUAGAUACCCGGGUAGUC
RNAcentral lists this ribosomal RNA (460 nucleotides) under uncultured bacterium. RNAcentral describes it as "partial 16S ribosomal RNA". It matches the Rfam family "Bacterial small subunit ribosomal RNA", at positions 338 to 795 of the family's 1533-position model. The record is from RNAcentral.